UACGUAGGGUGCGAGCGUUAAUCGGAAUUACUGGGCGUAAAGCGUGCGCAGGCGGAUAUGUAAGUCAGAUGUGAAAUCCCCGGGCUUAACCUGGGAAUUGCAUUUGAAACUGUAUAUCUAGAGUGCGUCAGAGGGGGGUGGAAUUCCACGUGUAGCAGUGAGAUGCGUAGAGAUGUGGAGGAACACCGAUGGCGAAGGCAGCCCCCUGGGAUGACACUGACGCUCAUGCACGAAAGCGUGGGGAGCAAACAGG
RNAcentral lists this ribosomal RNA (253 nucleotides) under uncultured bacterium. RNAcentral describes it as "partial 16S ribosomal RNA". It matches the Rfam family "Bacterial small subunit ribosomal RNA", at positions 524 to 776 of the family's 1533-position model. The record is from RNAcentral.